GCUUUGUUCAUCUUUUUCUCAUUCUAUAGUCACUGAGAGACCAGCAUUCGUUACAACUCCAACAAAUAAACUAUUAGUUGUUCUGGAGCGUUUCAAGAUUCUAGAGUUUUCCUUUUCAUACUCUAAAACAGAACAACUCGUAGCAUUUGUGCAAUCCUUGCAAUCUGAGGAUAAAGAACAACACCACCUUCACAACUGCAAACAAAUCCUGAAGCUGCGCUAUAGGGAUUGAAUGCGUGUGUAAUAUACGAAAGAAGAAAUUCUUCCUAGUCAACUGGGGGACAGUGCUUCCUGAAAUAGGCCAUGAUGAAACUUGGCCCUAAUUAUUGGUUUAGAAACACUGAAGAGGACUGUGGCAAAUCCUGAGAAGAGGAAAUAGCAUCUUGGAAGGCAUCCUCCUCAGUGACUUGUUGCCUGGAGACAUUUGCCAAGUAAAGAAGAGAAACCAAGAGUCUGAGCAGUACUUUUAAUGGCCUCAUGGAGGGAGAAUGGUAAAAGUUGGAUUCCAAGACCUGCAAAGGAGGAGUAGUUAUGGUAAGCCACUUACCAUUAACCCCAAAGGGCUGAACCCUGGAAACACUGGUGAACAGGAAAUAGAUCAGUCCUCACAGGUACUAUGUGUCAUGUCAUGUCAAUCUCCAGAAUUUGAUUAUGUUUAUUCAUAAGUGCUAAUGUCUCAGAGUGUCUUCCCUGCUUGAA
Molecule: non-coding RNA, 699 nt
Organism: Microcebus murinus (gray mouse lemur)
Lineage: Eukaryota; Metazoa; Chordata; Mammalia; Primates; Cheirogaleidae
Source: RefSeq, a predicted model, not a curated record